RNAcentral lists this transfer RNA (72 nucleotides) under Heterocephalus glaber (naked mole-rat). It matches the Rfam family "tRNA". From Rfam's summary of the family: Transfer RNA (tRNA) molecules are approximately 80 nucleotides in length. Their secondary structure includes four short double-helical elements and three loops (D, anti-codon, and T loops). Further hydrogen bonds mediate the characteristic L-shaped molecular structure. tRNAs have two regions of fundamental functional importance: the anti-codon, which is responsible for specific mRNA codon recognition, and the 3' end, to which the tRNAs corresponding amino acid is attached (by aminoacyl-tRNA synthetases). tRNAs cope with the degeneracy of the genetic code in two manners: having more than one tRNA (with a specific anti-codon) for a particular amino acid; and 'wobble' base-pairing, i.e. permitting non-standard base-pairing at the 3rd anti-codon position. Lineage: Eukaryota; Metazoa; Chordata; Mammalia; Rodentia; Bathyergidae. The record is from Rfam by way of RNAcentral.
UGGGGUGUGGCUCAGUGGUAGAGUGCUGGCCUAACAUGUUUGAGGCCCUGGGUUUGAUCCUUAGCACCACAA